UACGUAGGGCGCAAGCGUUGUCCGGAAUUAUUGGGCGUAAAGAGCUCGUAGGCGGUUUGUCACGUCGGGUGUGAAAGCCCGGGGGCUUAACCCCGGGUCUGCAUUCGAUACGGGCAGACUAGAGUGUGGUAGGGGAGAUCGGAAUUCCUGGUGUAGCGGUGAAAUGCGCAGAUAUCAGGAGGAACACCGGUGGCGAAGGCGGAUCUCUGGGCCAUUACUGACGCUGAGGAGCGAAAGCGUGGGGAGCAAACAGG
Molecule: ribosomal RNA, 254 nt
Filed under: uncultured bacterium
Lineage: Bacteria
Description: partial 16S ribosomal RNA
Rfam family: Bacterial small subunit ribosomal RNA
Source: RNAcentral